Non-coding RNA from Myodes glareolus (Bank vole), 1624 nucleotides. The record is from RefSeq and is a predicted model, not a curated record. Lineage: Eukaryota; Metazoa; Chordata; Mammalia; Rodentia; Cricetidae.
GCCCGGGCUAGCAUUUCCGCGCCACAGGCCCUAAAGGCGGCCCGCAGGCGCUGGGAAACUGACGGACUUGGCCCGGCCCACCCUCUGCUCAGAGUUAAAGGAGAAGGUUGCAGUUUCAGUACCAACAAGGGCUCAAAUAAAUAAGAGAAACUCAGUGACUCCAGAAUCAUCUGAGGCGAGUGACUGCUUCAUUCAUGGAGCCAGAGCAGAAGGAAGGACCAGAGCCACUCCAGGGAUGGAAAACCUAAAGGUGUCAGGUUGCAAACAAUGGUUGACUUCCGAAAAUGGAUGUUUCUCUCCAUAGGAAAUGUACAAAGAGGGUCUAUGAAGAGUGUCACUUGUGGAAAGCACAGAACGGACACAUCAAGGAUCAUGCUUCUAAGGAAAAGGCUUCUGAGUUUCAGCACAGCAUCUUCCACUCAGAAGUGUCCAUUUUGUGAAAGCCAAGAAAAAAACAUGAAGUCUUUUAGCUAGAAAAUGUUAUUUCCCGCGUGUCCUGUCAACAUUUUCAAAGUAACUGUGAUACAGAAGCAGCAUUUACAAUUACUUUCAGAAAUAAUUUUGUUUGAUUAUUCACCCUUCGCAAUUAAACCGAAGCAGUUUUUGUCUACUGUAGUAAGUCAUUAAAAUCUCCCUUAUUGUAAUCAUAUUAAAUUAGCUGCUUUUAUGUUGUACAGACAUUUUAACACUCUCAUUGAAUACUUGGCAACUAAAUACAUAUUUAAAAGCUAUUCUCUAGAUGUUAGCAUAUAUUUAAAAAUGCAUUAACACAAAAGGCAAAAAACUACUUAAAUUUAAUGAACUUAGUACCUACAAAAAUGAAUUUUGAAAUUAGAAAGCCAAAAGCUGAAGUAUUUGUUAUGUUGGUAUUUUAUUUGUGCUUUUUAGCAAUGUACAAAUUAUGUCUUUAGUACUGUAGAGCCCUAAACACCAAAGUACAACUUACAAGCUGUUUGCUUAGCUUUAAUACAGUGACUCAGGGCUCUAGUGUAUGUAUAGUUCUAGAAUUCGCCAAACACCUGGCUAACAGGAUUCACACUGUUGUCCCUAUAAUGUUUCUUCACCAUUUUAUGUGUUCAGUGAAUUCCCAUUUAUUCUUCAAACCUAACUCAAAAGGCACUUCAAUUUUAAUGCUUUCCUGUUUCCAGGAAGGAUGUCUCCCUGUUUCCAUGGCAACUUCCCACCUCUUUUUAAUUACACAUAAAUUAUCUAGGCUUCACAAAUGUGUGUUUGCAUUUAACACCUAAAGAUGGACCUUACAUUUUCUCAAAUAAAGUUUGGUGAAAAACACGAAUGAGCACCAUACAUUGUCAUCAAAAAGCUUAGAAUUAAUACAGAAGCAAUUUAAAGACUUUCAAUAUUCAAACAAAUAACAGCUGCCUGCAUUUGUCACUACUAGAGCUGGAUAGCAAGAGAACAAAGCUGUUAGGUCACUCCAAAAGAAUAUGCAAUCGAUGAAUGGUAGAGGGGGAUAUUUAAGUCUCCAGAUUUUAAACACCAAGUCUAGCUCUCUUUAUGCACAUAUACCUUCACAUGGCACCCAAGGUUCACGUAGCCUGGGUUUAUUUUGCAUUUUUCCUUUAUAUUUCAUAGUUUAUUCCAAUAAACAUAACAUGCUCUUCUA